This 86-nucleotide transfer RNA is filed under the name Chloroflexota bacterium. Its description in RNAcentral is "Chloroflexi bacterium tRNA-Leu". It matches the Rfam family "tRNA". From Rfam's summary of the family: Transfer RNA (tRNA) molecules are approximately 80 nucleotides in length. Their secondary structure includes four short double-helical elements and three loops (D, anti-codon, and T loops). Further hydrogen bonds mediate the characteristic L-shaped molecular structure. tRNAs have two regions of fundamental functional importance: the anti-codon, which is responsible for specific mRNA codon recognition, and the 3' end, to which the tRNAs corresponding amino acid is attached (by aminoacyl-tRNA synthetases). tRNAs cope with the degeneracy of the genetic code in two manners: having more than one tRNA (with a specific anti-codon) for a particular amino acid; and 'wobble' base-pairing, i.e. permitting non-standard base-pairing at the 3rd anti-codon position. The record is from RNAcentral. RNAcentral also lists the same sequence under 1 other name. Lineage: Bacteria; Bacillati; Chloroflexota.
GCCGAGGUGGCGAAAUGGCAGACGCGGCGGACUUAAAAUCCGCUUCUCGCAAGAGAGUGGGGGUUCGAGUCCCUUCCUCGGCACCA